AUUGAACGCUGGCGGCAGGCCUAACACAUGCAAGUCGAGCGAGCGGCGGACGGGUGAGUAAUGUCUGGGAAACUGCCUGAUGGAGGGGGAUAACUACUGGAAACGGUAGCUAAUACCGCAUACCAUCGGAUGUGCCCAGAUGGGAUUAGCUAGUAGGGGGGGUAAAGGCGCACCUAGGCGACGAUCCCUAGCUGGUCUGAGAGGAUGACCCGCCACACUGGAACGUAGACACGGUCCAUACGCCUACGGGAGGCAGCAGUGGGGAAUAUGUCACAAUGGGCGCAAGCCUGAUGCAGCCAUGCCGCGUGUAUGAAGAAGGCCUUCGGGUUGUAAAGUACUUUCAGCGGGGAGGCGUUACCCGCAGAAGAAGCACCGGCUAACUCCGUGCCAGCAGACGCGGUAAUUC
Molecule: ribosomal RNA, 406 nt
Filed under: uncultured bacterium
Lineage: Bacteria
Description: partial 16S ribosomal RNA
Rfam family: Bacterial small subunit ribosomal RNA
Source: RNAcentral